Molecule: ribosomal RNA, 433 nt
Filed under: uncultured bacterium
Lineage: Bacteria
Description: partial 16S ribosomal RNA
Rfam family: Bacterial small subunit ribosomal RNA
Source: RNAcentral
AACGAACGCUGGCGGCAUGCCUAACACAUGCAAGUCGAACGAGACCUUCGGGUCUAGUGGCGCACGGGUGCGUAACGCGUGGGAACCUGCCCUUAGGUUCGGAAUAACUCCCCGAAAGGGGUGCUAAUACCGGAUAAUUUCUUCGGACCAAAGAUUUAUCGCCCUUGGAUGGGCCCGCGUUGGAUUAGCUAGUUGGUAGGGUAAAAGCCUACCAAGGCGACGCUCCAUAGCUGGUCUGAGAGGAUGAUCAGCCACACUGGGACGGAGACACGGCCCAGACUCCUACGGGAGGCAGCAGUGGGGAAUAUUGGACAAUGGGCGAAAGCAUGAUCCAGCAAUGCCGCGUGAGUGAUGAAGGCCUUAGGGUUGUAAAGCUCUUUUACCCGGGAUGAUAAUGACAGUACCGGGAGAAUAAGCUCCGGCUAACUCCGUG